UAGACCCGAAACCCGGUGAUCUAGCCAUGGGCAGGUUGAAGGUUGGGUAACACUAACUGGAGGACCGAACCGACUAAUGUUGAAAAAUUAGCGGAUGACCUGUGGCUGGGGGUGAAAGGCCAAUCAAACCGGGAGAUAGCUGGUUCUCCCCGAAAGCUAUUUAGGUAGCGCCUCGUGAAUUCAUCUCCGGGGGUAGAGCACUGUUUCGGCUAGGGGGCCAUCCCGGCUUACCAACCCGAUGCAAACUGCGAAUACCGGAGAAUGUUAUCACGGGAGACACACGGCGGGUGCUAACGUCCGUCGUGAAGAGGGAAACAACCCAGACCGCCAGCUAAGGUCCCAAAGUCAUGGUUAAGUGGGAAACGAUGUGGGAAGGCCCAGACAGCCAGGAUGUUGGCUUAGAAGCAGCCAUCAUUUAAAGAAAGCGUAAUAGCUCACUGGUCGAGUCGGCCUGCGCGGAAGAUGUAACGGGGCUAAACCAUGCACCGAAGCUGCGGCAGCGAACGUAUCACCCAAGACAACUUUACGGAGUUGACGAUUGACGGAGCGAAGCGACGUCAAAGCGUUCAUUAAAGUCGAGUUGGCUUAGGGAUACGUUCGUUGGGUAGGGGAGCGUUCUGUAAGCCUGUGAAGGUGUGUCGUGAGGCAUGCUGGAGGUAUCAGAAGUGCGAAUGCUGACAUAAGUAACGAUAAAGCGGGUGAAAAGCCCGCUCGCCGGAAGACCAAGGGUUCCUGUCCAACGUUAAUCGGGGCAGGGUGAGUCGACCCCUAAGGCGAGGCCGAAAGGCGUAGUCGAUGGGAAACGGGUUAAUAUUCCCGUACUUGGUGUUACUGCGAAGGGGGGACGGAGAAGGCUAUGUUGGCCGGGCGACGGUUGUCCCGGUUUAAGCGUGUAGGUGUGUGUUCCAGGUAAAUCCGGUU
This 921-nucleotide ribosomal RNA is filed under the name Salmonella enterica. RNAcentral's name for it is "partial 23S ribosomal RNA". It matches the Rfam family "Bacterial large subunit ribosomal RNA", at positions 710 to 1547 of the family's 2925-position model. RNAcentral also lists the same sequence under 1 other name. The record is from RNAcentral. Lineage: Bacteria; Pseudomonadati; Pseudomonadota; Gammaproteobacteria; Enterobacterales; Enterobacteriaceae.